This 253-nucleotide ribosomal RNA is filed under the name uncultured bacterium. RNAcentral's name for it is "partial 16S ribosomal RNA". It matches the Rfam family "Bacterial small subunit ribosomal RNA", at positions 524 to 776 of the family's 1533-position model. The record is from RNAcentral.
UACGUAGGGGGCAAGCGUUGCUCGGAAUCACUGGGCGUAAAGCGCACGUAGGCGGCUUUUUAAGUCAGGGGUGAAAUCCUGGAGCUCAACUCCAGAACUGCCUUUGAUACUGGGAAGCUCGAGUCCGGGAGAGGUGAGUGGAACUCCGAGUGUAGAGGUGAAAUUCGUAGAUAUUCGGAAGAACACCAGUGGCGAAGGCGGCUCACUGGCCCGGUACUGACGCUGAGGUGCGAAAGCGUGGGGAGCAAACAGG